RNAcentral lists this ribosomal RNA (253 nucleotides) under uncultured bacterium. RNAcentral describes it as "partial 16S ribosomal RNA". It matches the Rfam family "Bacterial small subunit ribosomal RNA", at positions 524 to 776 of the family's 1533-position model. The record is from RNAcentral.
GACGGAGGGGGCUAGCGUUGUUCGGAAUUACUGGGCGUAAAGCGCGCGUAGGCGGCCUGUCAAGUUGGGGGUGAAAGCCCGGAGCUCAACUCCGGAACUGCCUUCAAAACUGACAAGCUAGAGUUCGGAAGAGGAGAGUGGAAUACCCAGUGUAGAGGUGGAAUUCGUAGAUAUUGGGUAGAACACCAGUGGCGAAGGCGACUCUCUGGUCCGAUACUGACGCUGAGGUGCGAAAGCGUGGGGAGCAAACAGG